AUUGAACGCUGGCGGCAGGCCUAACACAUGCAAGUCGAGCGAGCGGCGGACGGGUGAGUAAUGUAUGGGGAUCUGCCCGAUAGAGGGGGAUAACUACUGGAAACGGUGGCUAAUACCGCAUACUAUCGGAUGAACCCAUAUGGGAUUAGCUAGUUGGUGGGGUAAAGGCCUACCAAGGCGACGAUCAGUAGCUGGUCUGAGAGGACGAUCAGCCACACUGGGACGGAGACACGGCCCAGACUCCUACGGGAGGCAGCAGUGGGGAAUUUUGGACAAUGGGGGCAACCCUGAUCCAGCAAUGCCGCGUGUGUGAAGAAGGCCUUCGGGUUGUAAAGCACUUUUGUCCGGGAAGCGGUACCGGAAGAAUAAGGACCGGCUAACUACGUGCCAGCAGCCGCGGUAAUUC
This 406-nucleotide ribosomal RNA is filed under the name uncultured bacterium. RNAcentral's name for it is "partial 16S ribosomal RNA". It matches the Rfam family "Bacterial small subunit ribosomal RNA", at positions 30 to 526 of the family's 1533-position model. The record is from RNAcentral.